RNAcentral lists this long non-coding RNA (2355 nucleotides) under Canis lupus familiaris (dog). RNAcentral describes it as "lncRNA (ENSCAFG00845030433.1)". The record is from RNAcentral. Lineage: Eukaryota; Metazoa; Chordata; Mammalia; Carnivora; Canidae.
GGAGAUUGGACAAUUCAGAGAGCCCUGGAGGAGGGGGAGAGGGCUUCGUUUCCAGUGUGUACUUGCCACCUAGUGACCAUAGUGAAUGGUGAUACUUGUGCUUCUCAGCUCAGCCUGGUAGCCUGACCCUGACUCCUGAGGUCCGUGAUCCCGUCACAACUGCAAGUCAUUCUCCCACAAAGUUUGAGGUUACCCAGUUUGAGAGUUUUGGAACAACAUGCAAGUUCAAGUCACCAGCAUGUUAUCUUGCUGUCUCGUGUGACAAGACCAACAUCCGGGUUGCUUGCCUCUGGCCUCAUUCUUCUGCCCGCUGGUCCCUCUGCAGCCGUUGAUCACACACGCGUGUUUGUCAUACAAAAGCUGUCUUGCUUUUCGUAUUUGUCUCGUGAAUGUUGUCCUUGGCUUCAUGCACGUCAUAAGUUGGUGUUGCGUGCUGACCACUGAUACAUAGAACUUUCAGUACUUGUCGAUUUGCGUAGGUUUGGGUGAGAAUGGCAUCCAAGCAGAAAAACAAGAAGGCAGACGAUAGAAAUGCAAGAAAAACAAAGGGCAAGAAAAGUGAUGUCUGUAGCAAACAAUAUGAAAGUGCUUGAAAUGCUCCAUAAUGGUGAAACUGAGACCUCUAUAGGGUGCUUUUUGGGUGUUAAUGAAUCUAAUUUGAACAGUGAAGAGAAAUGAGAAAGCUGUUAGGGCCAGUGUGUCGAAGGGCACACUAGAAUCAUUGAGAAAACCAUACAUAGCUUGAAAUGUCAAAACAUAGACAAUGGAAAAAGAUUGGCCUGUGCGGCUUCUAACACGGGGAUCGCUGGCGAGGCCUCCUCCUGUGUGUGUAACUUGCCAGCGCGCAUCACAAAAAUGCAAGUUUAUUUAUUUAUUUUUUAAAGAUUUUAUUUAUUUAUUUAUCCAUGAUAGACACACACAGAGAGAGGCAGAGACACAGGCAGAGGGAGAAGCAGGCUCCAUGCAGGGAGCCCGACGUGGGACUCGAUCCCAGGACCCCAGGAUCACGCCCUGGGCCAAGGGCAGGCGCUGAACCGCCGAGCCUCCCAGGGAUCCCCAAAAAUGCAAGUUUAAAUUUCGAUCUGGAUGAAAAGUUGUAACAUUCAUCACCAGUAACGGGUGGUUUGGGUAGGUUUAAGAAACGCCGUGUGGUCUGUGUGGAAAGAGCUGGCUGGCAGAGGAAGCAGAUUGUGAGGCUGCUGCUGAGUAUCCUGAGUACCUGAGGAAACUGAGGCCCGUGGCUGCUUCUUCCGAGCCCAUGAGACGGCCCGGUUCUGGAAGCGCAUGCCUACUUGCACCUCUAUUGCAAAGGAUGAGCAAAAGACCAGAGGCUUCAAGCCUGGUAAAGACAAGCUCAGAGUUCUGUUUUGUUCCAGGGCUUCUGGUGACUUUCUGAUUAAAUCCAAGUUGCCUCACAGAUUCCGUAAUCCCUGUCCUCUUAAAGAGAAUGCUAAAAACACUUUCUUUUUCUUUUUUUUAAUUUAUUUUUUAUUGGUGUUCAAUUUACUAACAUAGAGAAUAACACCCAGUGCCCGUCACCCAUUCACUUUGCAUGGUGGGAAACCAGAGAAUAUGGGUCACCGAGAGACUCUUUUUUGGACUUUUUUGAAGGGUUUGUUCCUGAGGUUAGACAAGAUUUAAACUAAAAAAAUCACGAAUUCAAAGUGUUGCUGAUUCUGGACAGUGUUCCCACUGACAAAAUUGCCAUAGUUAACACUGAUCCAUGUGUUCGAGUCCUCUCUGUUCCCUCUGGUACGGUCCACUCCUUUAUCCCAUGCAUCUGGGAGUGCUAAAAUUUAUAUUUUUUUGUAAAUUUAUUUUUAUUGGUGUUCGAUUUGCCAACAUAUAGAAUAACACUCAGUGCUCAUCCCGUCAAGUGCCCCCCUCAGUGCCCGUCACCCAGUCACCCCACCCCCCGCCCACCUCCCUUUCCACCACCCCUAGUUCGUUUCCCAGAGUUAGGAGUCUCUCAUGUUCUGUCUCCCUUUCUGAUAUUUCCCACUCAUUUUUUCUCCUUUCCCCUUUAUUCCCUGUCACUAUUUUUUAUAUUCCCCAAAUGAAUGAGACCAUAUAAUGUUUGUCCUUCUCCGAUUGACUUAUUUCACUCAGCAUAAUACCCUCCAGUUCCAUCCACAUCGAAGCAAAUGGUGGGUAUUCGUCGUUUCUAAUGGCUGAGGAAUAUUCCAUUGUAUACAUAGACCACAUCUUCUUGAUCCAUUCAUCUUUCGAUGGACACCGAGGCUCCUUCCACAGUUGGGCUAUUGUGGACAUUGCGGCUAUAAACAUCGGGGUGCAGGUGUCCUGGCGUUUCACUGCAUCUGUAUCUUUGGGGUAAAUCCCCAGCAGGGCAGUUGC